AACAAGGCGCCGGGACCUGAUGGUUUCACGGGGAUCUUCUUCAAGAAGUGUUGGGGAAUCAUCAAGCAUACGAUCAUGGGGGUCAUUCAACGCUUCGAUUGCUUACACACCUCCAACCUGCAAUGGCUAAACUCUGCCAAUGUUGUUCUGCUGCCUAAGAAGGACGGCGCGGAAGGCAUCUCUGAUUAUAGGCCCAUUAGCCUCAUACAUGCCAUCGCUAAAAUCAUUGCCAAGGUUCUAUCGCUACGCCUUGCGCCCCACAUGGAUGACCUCGUGUCCAACGCCCAGAGUGCUUUCAUUAAAAGGAGAAGUAUCCACGACAACUUCAUGUAUGUUCGGAACUUUGCCCGGCGUCUACACAAAUGCAAGAACCCCGCACUCCUUUUCAAGCUUGAUAUAAAAAAGGCUUUCGACUCAGUCAAGUGGGGAUACAUUCUUGAGCUGCUCCAACGGUUGGGCUUCCCUCCAAAAUUUCGAGCUUGGAUUGCUGCGCUUCUAUCCUCUUCUUCAUCUCGGAUAAUGCUAAACGGGCUACCCGGCCCUCCUAUCAAGCAUGGCCGCGGAUUCAGGCAGGGGGACCCCAUCUCUCCACUCCUCUUCGUCUUGGCAAUUGACCCCUUGCAUAAGAUCCUAGACUUGACGAUGCGAAAAGGGCUCCUACAUAAGAUCCAUGGUCGGGGUGCCAUGGUGCGCACCUCCCUCUAUGCGGAUGAUGCGGCGGUCUUUGUGGCCCCCAUCAAGCGGGACAUUGACAAUCUUGCCUCUAUCCUCAGAGGCUUUGGGGACGUCACAGGCCUUUGUUCCAACUUCCAAAAAAGCUCGGUUGUGCCUAUUCGCUGCAAUCACCUUGACCUUGAGCAAAUUCUUCAGAGCAUGCCGGCGGCACGUGCCUCUUUUCCGGUCAAAUACCUAGGACUACCACUAUCUGUUUGGCAACUGAAGAAGGUGGAUUUCCAAUACCUUGAGGACAAAGCGGCCGGCAAAUUGGUCACUUGGGAGGGCCAAAACAUCACUACGAUCGGUCGUACGACACUUGUUAGGUCGGUCAUUACCUCCCAAGCAGUAUUCUCCAUCACGCCCCUCAUCGUGCCUCAGAGCUCUCUCCAUAGCCUUAACAAAAUUGAGAGAGCUUUCCUUUGGUCCGGCUCAGACAAGACAACGGGAGCCAAAUGCAAGGUCAACUGGAAGGUGGUUUGUAGACCAAAAGAAUAUGGUGGCCUAGGGGUGCUCGACACCAACAAGUUUGCACGUGCUUUGCGGCUCCGAUGGCUAUGGUAUGAAUGGACGGAGCCCCGAAGAUUAUGGGUUGGCCUUGGAAACCCGUGCACGGAGGAGGACCUCGAGUUUUUCUAUGCCUCUACGACUAUCACUGUAGGGGAUGUCGCCAAAACGCCUUUUUGGGGCUCCCCGUGGCUUCUUGGUCGCAAACCCAAGGAUAUCGCGCCACUCUUGUUUGCGGCCUCGAGAAGGAAGAAUUGGAAGGUCCGUGAGGCCCUCAUGGGGAACGCUUGGAUCUUCAAGAUCAAUCUGAACACGGACACGGAUGUCUCCAUCGCCCACAUUAGGGAGUUCUUCACUCUUUGGAUGCUCCUUAAUGACGUCCACCUUCAUGAGCAAACCGAAGACCUCAUCGUUUGGAAGCAUACGAACGAUGGGAUCUACACGGCGGCCACCGCAUACAAGGCUCAAUUCCUAGGCAUGACUCUUUCCCCCUUGGAUCGCAUGGUUUGGAAGGCAUGGGCACCUCCAAAGGUUAAGUUUUUUGCUUGGUUGGCGUUGCAAGAUAGGAUUUGGACCGCCGAUCGCUUGGAGCGUCGAGGUUGGCCAAAUUGUGGCCUUUGCAAGCUCUGCAAUAGGGAGCAAGAAUCAGGAGCCCACAUUUUCUUCAAGUGCCGCUACACGAUUCGGCUAUGGAAGUCUCUUAUUGAGAAACUAGGUCUUGCGCAC
This 1947-nucleotide ribosomal RNA is filed under the name Triticum aestivum (bread wheat). RNAcentral describes it as "partial small subunit ribosomal RNA". Lineage: Eukaryota; Viridiplantae; Streptophyta; Magnoliopsida; Poales; Poaceae. The record is from RNAcentral.